This 553-nucleotide ribosomal RNA is filed under the name Daldinia loculata. Its description in RNAcentral is "eukaryotic LSU rRNA". It matches the Rfam family "Eukaryotic large subunit ribosomal RNA", at positions 35 to 600 of the family's 3401-position model. Lineage: Eukaryota; Fungi; Ascomycota; Sordariomycetes; Xylariales; Hypoxylaceae. The record is from RNAcentral.
UAAGCAUAUCAAUAAGCGGAGGAAAAGAAACCAACAGGGAUUGCCCUAGUAACGGCGAGUGAAGCGGCAACAGCUCAAAUUUGAAAUCUGGCCCUAGCGGUCCGAGUUGUAAUUUGUAGAGGAUGCUUUUGGUUAGGUGCCUUCUGAGUUCCCUGGAACGGGACGCCAGAGAGGGUGAGAGCCCCGUACGGUUGGACACCGAGCCUCUAUAUAGCUCCUUCGACGAGUCGAGUAGUUUGGGAAUGCUGCUCUAAAUGGGAGGUAAAUUUCUUCUAAAGCUAAAUACCGGCCAGAGACCGAUAGCGCACAAGUAGAGUGAUCGAAAGAUGAAAAGUACUUUGAAAAGAGGGUUAAAUAGCACGUGAAAUUGUUGAAAGGGAAGCGUUUGCGACCAGACUUUUUCCAGGCGGAUCAUCCGGUGUUCUCACCGGUGCACUUCGCCUGGUUUAGGCCAGCAUCGGUUCUCUUAGGGGGAUAAAGGCCUGGGGAACGUAGCUCCUUCGGGAGUGUUAUAGCCCCUAGCGUAAUACCCUUCGGGGGACCGAGAACGCGC